CCUACGGGAGGCAGCAGUGGGGAAUAUUGGACAAUGGGGGCAACCCUGAUCCAGCCAUGCCGCGUGAGUGAUGAAGGCCUUAGGGUUGUAAAGCUCUUUUAUCCGGGACGAUAAUGACGGUACCGGAGGAAUAAGCCCCGGCUAACUUCGUGCCAGCAGCCGCGGUAAU
Molecule: ribosomal RNA, 169 nt
Filed under: uncultured bacterium
Lineage: Bacteria
Also listed under: 1 other name
Description: partial 16S ribosomal RNA
Rfam family: Bacterial small subunit ribosomal RNA
Source: RNAcentral